RNAcentral lists this ribosomal RNA (493 nucleotides) under uncultured bacterium. RNAcentral describes it as "partial 16S ribosomal RNA". It matches the Rfam family "Bacterial small subunit ribosomal RNA", at positions 27 to 507 of the family's 1533-position model. The record is from RNAcentral.
GAGUGAACGCUGGCGGUAGACCUAACACAUGCAAGUCGAACGGCAGCACAGUAAGAGCUUGCUCUUACGGGUGGCGAGUGGCGGACGGGUGAGGAAUACAUCGGAAUCUACUUUUUCGUGGGGGAUAACGUAGGGAAACUUACGCUAAUACCGCAUACGACCUACGGGUGAAAGCAGGGGAUCUUCGGACCUUGCGCGAUUGAAUGAGCCGAUGUCGGAUUAGCUAGUUGGCGGGGUAAAGGCCCACCAAGGCGACGAUCCGUAGCUGGUCUGAGAGGAUGAUCAGCCACACUGGAACUGAGACACGGUCCAGACUCCUACGGGAGGCAGCAGUGGGGAAUAUUGGACAAUGGGCGCAAGCCUGAUCCAGCCACACCGCGUGGGUGAAGAAGGCCUUCGGGUUGUAAAGCCCUUUUGUUGGGAAAGAAAAGCAGCAGGUUAAUACCCCGCUGUUCUGACGGUACCCAAAGAAUAAGCACCGGCUAACUUCGUG